This 609-nucleotide long non-coding RNA is filed under the name Micromonas pusilla. RNAcentral describes it as "long non-coding RNA (MPUS_LNC000154)". The record is from RNAcentral. Lineage: Eukaryota; Viridiplantae; Chlorophyta; Mamiellophyceae; Mamiellales; Mamiellaceae.
CUAAACCCUAAACCCUAAACCCUAAACCCUAAACCCUAAACCCUAAACCCUAAACCCGCGCCACGACGACGCGACGAACGGCGACGCGCGAACGGUACACCAGGACGUCGACGGCGCGUCCGAUGUCAAAUCGCGCGUCGUCGUCGUCGCGAGCGCGCGCCUCGCGGCGGCGGCGGCGUCGCGCGCGACGGUUGCGAGCGCCUCGACGCCAUCGCCGCGGAGGUACCGAAGAAUCGCCCGCGACGAACCCGCCGCCGCGCGUCGACGCAUCGCGCGAGAGGACGAGCGACGACGCGGCGCGCGCGCUCCGUUCUGUUUUCUGUUCCAGCCGCACUUGUCUGAGUUGCAGCAGUUGCGUCCGCGUCCUUGUGUUCGAUCUCAGCAGAAUCGCCCGUCAGAUCGACCCGCGCAGCCGUCUCCGCGCCCCGCGCGGCGUCGGCGAUGGGUCGGAAAAAGAAGAAGAACCACGGCGGCGGCGGCGGCGGCGGCGGCGACGACGUCGCGACGGAUCCCGCGCCCGCGGCGACGGAGGACGACGACGCGGGAGAAGGUUGGGCGACGGUGGCUGGGCGCAAGAAGAAAUCGCCGCCGCGCGUCGUCGUCGNNNNN